RNAcentral lists this non-coding RNA (399 nucleotides) under Rhizobium etli. Lineage: Bacteria; Pseudomonadati; Pseudomonadota; Alphaproteobacteria; Hyphomicrobiales; Rhizobiaceae. The record is from RNAcentral. RNAcentral also lists the same sequence under 1 other name.
GGUUCUGUAUGGCUCCGGCGUGAACCGGAACGUGGCAGCCAUUCCUCUGGGACAGCGCUCGCACGCUGCCUCACGCAACCCACCCGGAUGACUGGCCUGGAAACCGGCCGGAGAGCCUUUCAGCCCGCCGCGUCAUCCCUAUUCGGUCUUGCUCCCGGUGGGGUUUACCGUGCCAUAUCCGUUGCCGGAGAUGCGGUGGGCUCUUACCCCACCCUUUCACCCUUACCUGUCAUGACAGGCGGUUUGCUUUCUGUGGCACUUUCCCUGAGGUCGCCCUCGCCGGACGUUAUCCGGCACCGUGUUUCCGUGGAGCCCGGACUUUCCUCACCUUACCGCCUUUCGGCAUUGGUAAAGCGCGGCUGCCCGGCCAACUGGCAGGGCUCCCAUAAACGAGAGAGC